Lonchura striata (white-rumped munia) is the source of this 2460-nucleotide non-coding RNA. The record is from RefSeq and is a predicted model, not a curated record. NCBI's taxonomy places the organism in Eukaryota, Metazoa, Chordata, Aves, Passeriformes, Estrildidae.
AUUAAAGCUUUAAUAGUCCUAUUAUUUAAAAAUUUUGUAAACCAGAUGUUUAAUUUUUUAAUAGAAACAUGUCAAUUUUGUGAUGGUGUUAAAGGAUUGUUUUACAAUGAUGUAAAAUUAUAAUGUGAAUAUUUGGUGUCCUUUGUUUUUUUUUACUGGAACAAGAAAUAAGACAUAACAGUUCAGAACUUCAAACAGAUUAUGAUGUUUUCACUACACCAGAUCAUCAGUAAAUAAAAUUAUAAUAAGUCUGUUCAUAAGAACGUACACACUUAUGGAUUAUCUGGUUUUUGAUUAAAAGAAAAAAAUUGCUUUCAAUUUUUCCAUUUUGUGUGAAGGGGUAGUGUAAGGCCCACAAGUAUGCAAACUUAUAAAAGUGCAUGAAGUUCAUCUCCCAUCGAACACCAAUGAAGUCCUUUUUACAUUCUUACAGUUGCUUCAUUGUUCUAGCUGAAUUCAACAACUAUGAGGUCUUUUGAGAAAAAAAGACAGUGCUUUGUUCAGGAGGCGACUGAAAAGUGCAAUACUACUUUAAAUAGUGCAUUAUGUGCCAGUUGAAAUAGAAGCUAAAAUAUUCCUGAAAGCCAGGAGGUUCUUUUGUCCCCAUUCCUACACACACACUCCUGUGGCUGAUCAGCAUUUUGAAUCCCUAAUGAGGUAGAUGCUGCUGCGUCACACUCAAGAUAUGGGAUGGACAAAGCAAAGUCCUCCAUUGCCUUCUUUUAUGUGGAGUUGAUGAAAUAGCUACUUUUCAUAAAAUCAACCAUUCAUUGUUUUGUCACAGUGAACACAAAGUCAGGUCUGAUCUAGCAGGCUGGCUGGAUUGUGCUAACUGACCCACAGAAGGUUGUGACUCUUUGUUUGUGAGUUGCUUUUCUUCUAAAUGCUAAAUUGCACAACUUGUUGAUAGUAUCAGAGCAUGGAGAGCAAGACCAAAAGUCUAAAGCGUGUCCUAACCCUUGAGAUGUUUGUUACCAUCUGCUGCUGCAAUGAGUACAGCACAACUGCAGAACAGGUUGCCUAGCAUGUUUUGUAGUAGGAAAAGGCAUUUAGACAAGAAAUAAGUGAAAUUUAAUCUCUGCUACAGAAAAAUAAAUUUCCAGUUCUUGAGCAUGCAGUGAAAGCUCUGUUACAUAUGGGCACUAAAUUAAAAUUUAGUGGAGAUUUUCCUGUGCAUGUCACUGAAAAAAAAAAGUAAAAUCAACAAAACCCAAGCAAGACCAAGAUUCAGAUUGCCUGGGAUUAUAGGAACUGGAAAAAAUUAAAGACUGGUAAACUGAAUGCCUUUAAAUAACCAGAAAAUACCUAAAACUUGAAGAAUGCAAAGGAAAUGUAGUUAUAAAUUCAGAAAUUACCUAUACCAAAAUAGAGUUCAGACAAUAGAUUAGAAAUAGUUAACACAAAUUGUUCUGUGUUAUUUUCAUUUUUGUGUUGGUUUCUCCCAGAUUUUGAGUUGUAUUUCUAGUUUUAAAAAGGUAAACACCCAUAACUAGGGGCUUACAUAGCGUUAUGCCUUAUAAAAAAAAUAUUGUGGAGGAAAUAUAUUUGUUUGUAUUCCAACAGAACUCUCUGUGUACUUUACUUUCCUUAUUGCCAUUUACUACUUUCAAUUUGUGAUUCAGUCAUUUAGAGAAGAGUUGGGGGGUUUUGUUCUUUUGGUUGUUCUUCUGGUUGGUCUUUUUUAAGGAUUAGUGAUUUUAAACCAAUAAAAACUAGUGAACAUAUGCAGAACAAAUACGAUUAUUAAUUUUAUGAAUAUAAUCUGAUUUCAGGUUGAUAGUACUUCUUUAAAUUUUGGCCUACCAUGGUCAGGACAGUCUCGUGUUUCUACUUACAGAAGUAAUGGAUUACUAUUUUGAUAAUAUGAUGUGCAUAACUUAGAAAAUAUUUAAUUUCAUACAUGAUCUAUUUUUUCACAAUUUUUCUUUUAUACCAAGGAAUUUUAACCCCUGUACUAUUUGCAGCAAAAUUCUGGAUAAUUUACAGUACCUUAAUUGCUCUGUGUUAAUACAUAUUAUUGCCUUUACAGAGUCCUCUGGGAAGAAAAAGUAGCACUGGACAAACUUUUAAAUAAUUUUAAAUUUCACUGCAUAGGAAGGGGACAGUGACCCAGGCACUCUAAAGCCUAAAUCAAGUUCUUCUCCCUGCCACCCUCUUCUGGAGUUUCUUCACCAAUGACAUUACUGAUGACUAUGUGAAAUCUCCAAGAUCCAAUGGCACCAGCAAUUAUGGAAUACACUCUUCCAGAAGAUAUGCCAUAUAGAACACAAGAUCACACGCUGGGUUUAGAACGCCUGCUCAGCAAAGCAGUGAAUGACACGACUUGUGGGAUCACCUUCAGAGUACUUUCACCCACGGUUUCUGUAAAACUGCAUGACAAGAUGUUUCUUAAUUAAAACAUUUACAUGUUAAAAAUAUUGAAGGAGAGGUUUUCAUAAUAAAGUCGGGAUGGUUUCUGUA